UCCAAAGAAAUGAAUAUUUCUUUUUGGCAACCUCAGGUAGCAGAUAAAACCUACAUGGAAAAAUGGACAAGAAGAAAUGGAAAAUAAGACCCAGAAUCUGGACUGGUCAUUCGUGCCGGCUGGACCAAUGCCUUAAAGGAUGGGGCUUAGGGGGCCUCCCCGGUGGUGCAGCGGUUGAGCGCUGAGCU
This is a long non-coding RNA of Talpa occidentalis (Iberian mole), 188 nucleotides long. RefSeq lists it as uncharacterized. The transcript is spliced from 3 exons. Lineage: Eukaryota; Metazoa; Chordata; Mammalia; Eulipotyphla; Talpidae. The record is from RefSeq and is a predicted model, not a curated record.